RNAcentral lists this ribosomal RNA (1343 nucleotides) under uncultured bacterium. RNAcentral's name for it is "16S ribosomal RNA". It matches the Rfam family "Bacterial small subunit ribosomal RNA", at positions 28 to 1378 of the family's 1533-position model. The record is from RNAcentral.
GACGAACGCUGGCGGCGUGCUUAACACAUGCAAGUCGAACGGAAAGGCCCUGCUUUUGUGGGGUGCUCGAGUGGCGAACGGGUGAGUAACACGUGAGUAACCUGCCCUUGACUUUGGGAUAACUUCAGGAAACUGGGGCUAAUACCGGAUAGGAGCUCCUGCUGCAUGGUGGGGGUUGGAAAGUUUCGGCGGUUGGGGAUGGACUCGCGGCUUAUCAGCUUGUUGGUGGGGUAGUGGCUUACCAAGGCUUUGACGGGUAGCCGGCCUGAGAGGGUGACCGGCCACAUUGGGACUGAGAUACGGCCCAGACUCCUACGGGAGGCAGCAGUGGGGAAUAUUGCACAAUGGGCGGAAGCCUGAUGCAGCAACGCCGCGUGCGGGAUGACGGCCUUCGGGUUGUAAACCGCUUUCGCCUGUGACGAAGCGUGAGUGACGGUAAUGGGUAAAGAAGCACCGGCUAACUACGUGCCAGCAGCCGCGGUGAUACGUAGGGUGCGAGCGUUGUCCGGAUUUAUUGGGCGUAAAGGGCUCGUAGGUGGUUGAUCGCGUCGGAAGUGUAAUCUUGGGGCUUAACCCUGAGCGUGCUUUCGAUACGGGUUGACUUGAGGAAGGUAGGGGAGAAUGGAAUUCCUGGUGGAGCGGUGGAAUGCGCAGAUAUCAGGAGGAACACCAGUGGCGAAGGCGGUUCUCUGGGCCUUUCCUGACGCUGAGGAGCGAAAGCGUGGGGAGCGAACAGGCUUAGAUACCCUGGUAGUCCACGCUGUAAACGGUGGGUACUAGGUGUGGGGUCCAUUCCACGGGUUCCGUGCCGUAGCUAACGCUUUAAGUACCCCGCCUGGGGAGUACGGCCGCAAGGCUAAAACUCAAAGGAAUUGACGGGGCCCCGCACAAGCGGCGGAGCAUGCGGAUUAAUUCGAUGCAACGCGUAGAACCUUACCUGGGUUUGACAUGGAUCGGGAGUGCUCAGAGAUGGGUGUGCCUCUUUUGGGGUCGGUUCACAGGUGGUGCAUGGCUGUCGUCAGCUCGUGUCGUGAGAUGUUGGGUUAAGUCCCGCAACGAGCGCAACCCUUGUUCACUGUUGCCAGCACGUUAUGGUGGGGACUCAGUGGAGACCGCCGGGGUCAACUCGGAGGAAGGUGGGGAUGACGUCAAGUCAUCAUGCCCCUUAUGUCCAGGGCUUCACGCAUGCUACAAUGGCUGGUACAGAGAGUGGCGAGCCUGUGAAGGUGAGCGAAUCUCGGAAAGCCGGUCUCAGUUCGGAUUGGGGUCUGCAACUCGACCUCAUGAAGUCGGAGUCGCUAGUAGUCGCAGAUCAGCAACGCUGCGGUGAAUACGUUCCCGGG